This 280-nucleotide small RNA is filed under the name Saimiri boliviensis boliviensis (Bolivian squirrel monkey). Its description in RNAcentral is "Metazoan signal recognition particle RNA (ENSSBOG00000006134.1)". The record is from RNAcentral. Lineage: Eukaryota; Metazoa; Chordata; Mammalia; Primates; Cebidae.
GCUGGGUGUGGUGGUGUGUGCCUGUAAUCCCAGCUACUCGGGAGGCUGAGGCAGGAGAAUUGCUUGAACCUGGGAGGUGGAGGUUGCAGUAAGCCGAGGUCGCACCACUGUACUCCAGCCUGGCACCUGGUGACGGAGUGAGACUCUGUCUCAAAAAAAAAAAAAAAAAUUUAAGAGGCUGAAGGAGGAGAAUCAUUUCAACCUGGGAUGUGAAGGUUACGGUGAGCCGAGAUCAUGCCACUGCACUCCAGCCUGGGCAACAGAGCAAGACCCUGUCUCA